UACGUAGGGCGCAAUCGUUAUCCGGAAUUAUUGGGCGUAAAGAGCUCGUAGGCGGUUUGUCGCGUCUGCCGUGAAAGUCCGGGGCUCAACUCCGGAUCUGCGGUGGGUACGGGCAGACUAGAGUGAUGUAGGGGAGACUGGAAUUCCUGGUGUAGCGGUGAAAUGCGCAGAUAUCAGGAGGAACACCGAUGGCGAAGGCAGGUCUCUGGGCAUUAACUGACGCUGAGGAGCGAAAGCAUGGGGAGCGAACAGG
Molecule: ribosomal RNA, 253 nt
Filed under: uncultured bacterium
Lineage: Bacteria
Description: partial 16S ribosomal RNA
Rfam family: Bacterial small subunit ribosomal RNA
Source: RNAcentral